CAGUAGCCACGGUAAUACGUAGGGUGCAAGCGUUAUCCGGAAUUAUUGGGCGUAAAGAGCUCGUAGGCGGUUUGUCGCGUCUGUCGUGAAAGUCCGGGGCUCAACUCCGGAUCUGCGGUGGGUACGGGCAGACUAGAGUGAUGUAGGGGAGACUGGAAUUCCUGGUGUAGCGGUGGAAUGCGCAGAUAUCAGGAGGAACACCGAUGGCGAAGGCAGGUCUCUGGGCAUUAACUGACGCUGAGGAGCGAAAGCAUGGGGAGCGAACAGGAUUAGAUACCCGCGUAGUCCCUGUCUCUUAUAC
This 301-nucleotide ribosomal RNA is filed under the name uncultured bacterium. RNAcentral's name for it is "partial 16S ribosomal RNA". It matches the Rfam family "Bacterial small subunit ribosomal RNA", at positions 509 to 807 of the family's 1533-position model. The record is from RNAcentral.